RNAcentral lists this ribosomal RNA (505 nucleotides) under uncultured bacterium. RNAcentral's name for it is "partial 16S ribosomal RNA". It matches the Rfam family "Bacterial small subunit ribosomal RNA", at positions 28 to 507 of the family's 1533-position model. The record is from RNAcentral.
GACGAACGCUGGCGGCGUGCCUAAUACAUGCAAGUGGGACGCAAGGAAACACACUGUGCUUGCACACCGUGUUUUCUUGAGUCGCGAACGGGUGAGUAACGCGUAGGUAACCUGCCUAUUAGCGGGGGAUAACUAUUGGAAACGAUAGCUAAUACCGCAUAAUAUUAAUUAUUGCAUGAUAAUUGAUUGAAAGAUGCAAGCGCAUCACUAGUAGAUGGACCUGCGUUGUAUUAGCUAGUUGGUAAGGUAAGAGCUUACCAAGGCGACGAUACAUAGCCGACCUGGGAGGGUGAUCGGCCACACUGGGACUGAGACACGGCCCAGACUCCUACGGGAGGCAGCAGUAGGGAAUCUUCGGCAAUGGACGAAAGUCUGACCGAGCAACGCCGCGUGAGUGAAGAAGGUUUUCGGAUCGUAAAGCUCUGUUGUAAGUCAAGAACGUGUGUGAGAGUGGAAAGUUCACACAGUGACGGUAGCUUACCAGAAAGGGACGGCUAACUACGUG